GGGCAUCGAUGUGCUAGAGCUACCUUGUUACGACUUCCACCCCAGUCAUGAAUCCUACCGUGGUAAUCGCCCUCCUUACGGUUAGGCUAACUACUUCUGGUAAAGCCUCCCAUGGUGUGACGGGCGGUGUGUACAAGACCCAGGAACGUAUUCACCACGGCCAUGCUGAUCCACGGUGCAGCGUUCCGACUGCACCGGUCGAGUUGCAGACUGCGAUCCGGACCACGAUCGGGUUCGGGAUUGGCUCCCCCUCGCGGAGUUGGCGACCCUCGUCCCGACCAUUGUAUGACGUGUAAAGCUACCCAUAAGAGGCCAGCUGAGGACUUAAUGGCGUCAUCCCAGCUAUGGUUUGUCGCAGCAGUCUCGUUAGUGCCUUUCCUUCAACUAAUGACGGGGUUGCCUUUCGUUGCGGGACUUAACGCAUCUCCACGACACGAGCUGACGGCAGCCAUGCAGCACCUGUGUUCCAGUUUCUCUGCGAGCACUCCCCGUCUCUUCGGGAUUCAGACAUCAAGGGUAGGUAAGGUUUUCGCGUUGCAUCCGUUGUCCGCAUCAUCACCCUUACGUGCGGGGUCCCGUCAAUUCUUUGUUUCCAAUCUUGCGAUGUGCUCCCCAGGCAGGUCAACUUCGCGAUAGCUGCUUUCAAAGGCCCGAGAGCCCCAACAGCAUGGUGACAUCGUUUGGGGCGUGGACUACGGGUAUCUAAUCCUGUUUGCUCCCCGCGCUUUCGUGCAUGACUCAGUGUUAUCCCAGGAGGCUGCCUUCGCCAUCGGUGUUCCUCCGCAUAUCUACCGCAUUUCACUGCUACACGCAGAAUUUACACCUCAUGACACACUCUGGCUCAGUGUUAAAAAUGGUUCAGGUCUGGUUCCAUCUUUCUUUCCAGACACGCCUGCCUGCGCUUUGCCAGUAAUUGGUCGCUGCCCGCCCACAUGUUACCGCGGCUGCUGGCACGUGGUUAGCCGGUGCUGUUCUGCAGGUACCGUCAGUUGCGCGGGUGUUAUCCCGUGCCGUUUCUUUCCUGCCAAAAAGUGCUUUUUACAACCGAAGGCCUUCAUCGCACGCGGGAUGGCUGGAUCAGGGUUCCCAUUGUCCAAAAAUUCCCCGCUGCUGCCUCCGUGGAGUCUGGUACGCGUCUCCAGUCCCGGUGUGGCUGGUCAUUCCUCUCGUCCUUCCGGAUCGUCUGGCCAAGGUGAGCCGUUGCCCCCACCAACUAGCUAAUCCGAUAUCUGACCGCUCUAAUAGUGCGAAGGGCCGAGAUCUUGCUCGAAGGGGCGUGUGCGGUAUUAGCUACGCUUUUUCGCGUGAUUAUCCCCCGCUACUGGGCGUUCCGAUACAUUACUCACCCGUUCGCCACUCGCCACCAGACCGAAGUCCGUGCUGCCGUUCGACUUGCGUAGUAUGAGCAUCCACCCAGCGUUCCAAUCUGAGCCAGGAUCGAACU
Molecule: ribosomal RNA, 1444 nt
Filed under: uncultured Bordetella sp.
Lineage: Bacteria; Pseudomonadati; Pseudomonadota; Betaproteobacteria; Burkholderiales; Alcaligenaceae
Description: partial 16S-23S ribosomal RNA intergenic spacer
Source: RNAcentral